This 394-nucleotide ribosomal RNA is filed under the name uncultured bacterium. RNAcentral's name for it is "bacterial SSU rRNA". It matches the Rfam family "Bacterial small subunit ribosomal RNA", at positions 775 to 1167 of the family's 1533-position model. The record is from RNAcentral.
GGAUUAGAUACCCGGGUAGUCCAUGCCGUAAACGUUGGGAACUAGAUGUGGGGACCAUUCCACGGUCUCCGUGUCGCAGCUAACGCAUUAAGUUCCCCGCCUGGGGAGUACGGCCGCAAGGCUAAAACUCAAAGGAAUUGACGGGGGCCCGCACAAGCGGCGGAGCAUGCGGAUUAAUUCGAUGCAACGCGAAGAACCUUACCAAGGCUUGACAUAUACGAGAACGCUCUAGAAAUAGAGAACUCUUUGGACACUCGUAUACAGGUGGUGCAUGGUUGUCGUCAGCUCGUGUCGUGAGAUGUUGGGUUAAGUCCCGCAACGAGCGCAACCCUCGUCGUAUGUUGCCAGCACGUAAUGGUGGGAACUCAUAUGAGACUGCCGGGGUCAACUCGGA